GUUGUCCGGAUUUAUUGGGCGUAAAGCGAGCGCAGGCGGUGAUUUAAGUCUGAUGUGAAAGCCCCCAGCUCAACUGGGGAGGGUCAUUGGAAACUGGAUCACUUGAGUGCAGAAGAGGAGAGUGGAAUUCCAUGUGUAGCGGUGAAAUGCGUAGAUAUAUGGAGGAACACCAGUGGCGAAGGCGGCUCUCUGGUCUGUAACUGACGCUGAGGCUCGAAAGCGUGGGUAGCAAACAGGAUUAGAUACCCUGGUAGUCCACGCCGUAAACGAUGAGUGCUAAGUGUUGGAGGGUUUCCGCCCUUCAGUGCUGCAGUUAACGCAUUAAGCGCUCCGCCUGGGGAGUACGACCGCAAGGUUGAAACUCAAAGGAAUUGACGGGGGCCCGCACAAGCGGUGGAGCAUGUGGUUUAAUUCGAAGCAACGCGAAGAACCUUACCAGGUCUUGACAUCCUUUGACCGCCCUAGAGAUAGGGUUUCCCCUUCGGGGGCAAAGUGACAGGUGGUGCAUGGUUGUCGUCAGCUCGUGUCGUGAGAUGUUGGGUUAAGUCCCGUAACGAGCGCAACCCUUAUUGUUAGUUGCCAGCAUUGCGUUGGGCACUCUAGCAAGACUGCCGGUGACAAACCGGAGGAAGGCGGGGAUGACGUCAAAUCAUCAUGCCCCUUAUGACCUGGGCUACACACGUGCCACAAUGGGAAGUACAACGAGCGCGCCAAGCCGCAAGGCCGAGCGAAUCUCUGAAAGCUUCUCUCAGUUCGGAUUGCAGGCUGCAACUCGCCUGCAUGAAGCCGGAAUCGCUAGUAAUCGCGGAUCAGCAUGCCGCGGUGAAUCCGUUCCCGGGCCUUGUACACACCGCCCGUCACACCACGAGAGUUUGUAACACCCAAAGUCGGUGCGGCAACCCCUAUGGGAGCCAGCCGCCUAAGGUGGGACGAAUGAUUGGGGUGAA
RNAcentral lists this ribosomal RNA (947 nucleotides) under uncultured bacterium. Its description in RNAcentral is "bacterial SSU rRNA". It matches the Rfam family "Bacterial small subunit ribosomal RNA", at positions 540 to 1484 of the family's 1533-position model. The record is from RNAcentral.